This 2568-nucleotide ribosomal RNA is filed under the name human gut metagenome. RNAcentral's name for it is "bacterial LSU rRNA". It matches the Rfam family "Bacterial large subunit ribosomal RNA". The record is from RNAcentral.
GACGGGGUUGCAGGGCCGCGCAUCCGGGGGCUGCCGCCCCCGGGCGCAGGUCCGGCUGGGGAGCGGAACGGCAUGGGAGGGCCGGCCGCAGCGGGUGACAGCCCCGUACGCGAACCCAGACCGGACGGCGCGACGCGGUCCCUGAGUAGGGCCGGGCACGUGAAACCCGGUCCGAACCUGGGUGGACCACCAUCCAAGCCUGAGUACUACCCUGUGACCGAUAGCGCACCAGUACCGUGAGGGAAAGGUGAAAAGCACCCCGGGAGGGGAGUGAAACAGUACCUGAAACCGUGCGCCCACGAGCAGUCGGAGCAACUUUACGUUGUGACGGCGUGCCUUUUGUAGAAUGAGCCAGCGAGUCGCUGGCGCGGGGCGAGGUUAACCGAAAGGGAGCCGGAGCGAAAGCGAGCCUUAACAGGGCGACUUGAGUCCCGCGCCGCGGACGCGAAGCCGGGUGAGCUAUCCGUGGGCAGGCUGAAGCGGGGGUAAGACCCCGUGGAGGGCCGAACGCACGUCGGUUGAAAACGGCGGCGAUGACCUGCGGAUAGGGGUGAAAGGCCAAUCAAACCCGGAGAUAUCUCGUUCUCCCCGAAAUAGCUUUAGGGCUAGCGUCGCGCGUUCACCGCCGGAGGUAGAGCACCGGAUGGACGAGGGGGCUUCGCCGCCUACCGAAUCCAACCGAACUCCGAAUGCCGGCGGCCCAGAGCGCGGCAGUCAGAGCAUGUGGGCUAAGCUGUGUGCUCGAGAGGGAAACAGCCCGGACCGCCCGCUAAGGUCCCCAAGUUCCAGCCGAGUGGCAAAGGAUGUGCGUCCGCCCAGACAACCAGGAUGUUGGCUUAGAAGCAGCCACUCAUUAAAAGAGUGCGUAAUAGCUCACUGGUCGAGUGACUCUGCGCCGAAAAUUUAACGGGGCUAAACUAUACACCGAAGCUUGGGAUACAUCUAAUGUAUGGUAGGAGAGCGUUCUGUAUGGGGAGAAGUCGUAGCGAAAGCGGCGGUGGACUAUACAGAAGUGAGAAUGCCGGAAUAAGUAGCGAGAAUUAAGUGAGAAUCUUAAUGGCCGAAAGUCUAAGGUUUUUGGAGGAAGGUUCGUCCGCUCCAAGUAAGUCGGGAGCUAAGGUCAGGCCGAAAGGCGUAGCCGAUGCACAUACGGUUGAUAUUCCGUAACCAUCUGUAAUUUAAGCAAAGGGACACUUCAAAAGGGUGUGACCCGGGCGUUGGUUGACCCGGGCGUAAGGGACCGAAAUUAGAGUAGGGAAGCACACUUAGCUGAAGGCGAGAAAAGCUUUGCGUAUAGAAACAGAUGCCCGUACCGCAAACCGACACAGGUGGACAGGAAGAGAAUUCUAAGGCCAGCGGGAGAAGGGUAGUUAAGGAACUCGGCAAAUUGACUCCGUAACUUCGGAAUAAGGAGUGCUCGAAAGAGCCGCAGAGAAUAGGCCCAGGCGACUGUUUAGCAAAAACACAGGUCUCUGCCAAAUCGAAAGAUGAAGUAUAGGGGCUGACACCUGCCCGGUGCCGGAAGGUUAAGAGGAGGAGUGAGAGCUCCGAAUUGAAGCCCCGGUAAACGGCGGCCGUAACUAUAACGGUCCUAAGGUAGCGAAAUUCCUUGUCGGGUAAGUUCCGACCCGCACGAAUGGUGUAACGAUCUGGGCACUGUCUCAACUACCCACCCGGCGAAAUUGUAGUACCGGUGAAGAUGCCGGUUACCUGCGGCAAGACGGAAAGACCCCAUGGAGCUUUACUGUAGCCUGAUAUUGGGUUUCGGAAAUCUAUGUACAGGAUAGGCGGGAGACUGGGAAACAUGAGCGUCAGCUUGUGUGGAGUCGAUGUUGGGAUACCGCCCUUAGGUUUCUGGAAUUCUAACCUGCGGCCGUGAAACCGGUCGGGGGACAUUGUCAGGUGGGCAGUUUGACUGGGGCGGUCGCCUCCGAAAAGGUAACGGAGGCGCUCAAAGGUUAGCUCAGCACGGACGGAAACCGUGCCUCUGAGUGUAAACGCAAAAGCUAGCCUAACUGCGAGGGUGACGGCCCGAGCAGUAACGAAAGUUGGAGUUAGUGAUCCGGCGGUAUGUGAAUGGAAAUGCCGUCGCUCAACGGAUAAAAGCUACCCUGGGGAUAACAGGCUGAUCUCCCCCAAGAGUCCACAUCGACGGGGAGGUUUGGCACCUCGAUGUCGGCUCAUCACAUCCUGGGGCUGUAUUCGGUCCCAAGGGUUCGGCUGUUCGCCGAUUAAAGUGGUACGCGAGCUGGGUUCAGAACGUCGCGAGACAGUUCGGUCCCUAUCUGUCGUGGGCGCAGGAUAUUUGAGGAGCUCUGUCCUUAGUACGAGAGGACCGGGAUGGACGUACCUCUGGUGCACCAGUUGUCAUGCCAAUGGCACGGCUGGGCAGCUAUGUACGGAACGGAUAAACGCUGAAAGCAUCUAAGCGUGAAGCCGACUCCAAGAUUAGAUAUCCCAUCGUAUAACGAGUAAGACCCCUUGAAGACUACGAGGUUGAUAGGCUGCGUGUGUAAGUGCCGUGAGGCAUUCAGCUUGGCAGUACUAAUAGGUCGAGGGCUUGACCAC